RNAcentral lists this ribosomal RNA (460 nucleotides) under uncultured bacterium. RNAcentral's name for it is "partial 16S ribosomal RNA". It matches the Rfam family "Bacterial small subunit ribosomal RNA", at positions 338 to 795 of the family's 1533-position model. The record is from RNAcentral.
CAUACGGGUGGCAGCAGUGAGGAAUAUUGGUCAAUGGCCGUAAGGCUGAACCAGCCAAGUCGCGUGAGGGAAGAAGGAUCUACGGUUUGUAAACCUCUUUUAUAGGGGAAUAAAGGUAUCCACGUGUGGAUAUUUGCAUGUACCCGAUGAAUAAGCAUCGGCUAACUCCGUGCCAGCAGCCGCGGUAAUACGGAGGAUGCGAGCGUUAUCCGGAUUUAUUGGGUUUAAAGGGUGCGUAGGUUGUUGUUUAAGUCAGCGGUGAAAGUUUGUGGCUCAACCCUAAAAUUGCCGUUGAAACUGGAAGCCUUGAGUGUGUGAGAGGUAGGCGGAAUGCGUGGUGUAGCGGUGAAAUGCAUAGAUAUCACGCAGAACUCCGAUUGCGAAGGCAGCUUACUGAGCCGUAACUGACGCUGAGGCACGAAAGCGUGGGGAUCGAACAGGAUUAGAUACCCCUGUAGUC